CAGCCGCCGCGGGAAUACGUAGGUGGCAAGCGUUGUCCGGAAUUAUUGGGCGUAAAGGGCUCGCAGGCGGUUUCUUAAGUCUGAUGCGAAAGCCCCCGGCUCAACCGGGGAGGGUCAUUGGAAACUGGGAAACUUGAGUGCAGAAGAGGAGAGUGGAAUUCCACGUGUAGCGGUGAAAUGCGUAGAGAUGUGGAGGAGCGCCAGUGGCGAAGGCGACUCUCUGGUCCGUAACUGACGCUGAGGAGCGAAAGCGUGGGGAGCGAACAGGAUUAGAUACCCCCGUAGUCCCUGUCUCUUAUAC
This 301-nucleotide ribosomal RNA is filed under the name uncultured bacterium. Its description in RNAcentral is "partial 16S ribosomal RNA". It matches the Rfam family "Bacterial small subunit ribosomal RNA", at positions 509 to 807 of the family's 1533-position model. The record is from RNAcentral.